Rosa chinensis is the source of this 1135-nucleotide long non-coding RNA. RefSeq lists it as uncharacterized. The record is from RefSeq and is a predicted model, not a curated record. The transcript is spliced from 3 exons. NCBI's taxonomy places the organism in Eukaryota, Viridiplantae, Streptophyta, Magnoliopsida, Rosales, Rosaceae.
GUGAAUGAAUCACGGUCUUGCAAUUUAGAUGUUCCAUCGGAACAAGAUUGGUCAAUUGCACAACUAGUUAAUCGCUUUUUAUUGAUUUUUGCAUCCUCAACCAAGAUAUUUUCUGGUGUAUAUUACCCUACAUCAUGUCGUGUUAUUAGUUGCUUGAUAGAUAUCCAUUUUGCAUUUGAGGCAUAUUCUGAUUUUAAUGUAUUUAAGGAUGCAUUGGCUGCAAUGAAGGACAAAUUUGAUAAGUAUUGGGGUACAUUUCCCAAAGCUUUUUGCUUUGCUACAAUUAUGGAUCCUAGAUUUAAGUUAUUUGCUAUUGGAGAAUGGUUAAAAUGCAUGGGUAUUGAUCAGCUUGAUGUUGAUAGAAAAUUGUUAGAGUUAAGAACUGAAUUGCAAGCUCUUUAUGAAACAUAUAAGAAGAAUAUUGUGUCAGAUGUAGCACCUAGGCAAUCUGAAAAUUUAACUUCUUCUACCUCGAGUGCUCCGGGUUCUAUAGCAUUGCCUAUUGUUGGUAAUUCCUCAAUGCAAAGUUUGAAAAGGGCAAAGGUAUCAUCUUCAUAUACUUCUUCUGCGACUUCUAAUGAUUUACAAAUGUACUAUGAUUUACCAACUAUUGAAGUUGAUGAUGAUAAUCAAUUUAGUGUCUUGGCUUGGUGGAAAUCAAAUGAACCAUUAUACCCUAUAGUUUCUCGCAUGGCUAGAGAUUUGCUAACAAUUCCAGCUUCUACUGUAGCUUCGGAGUCAUGUUUUAGUGCAGGAGGUAGAGUUGUAUAUGAGAAAAGGGCUUGCUUGAGUCCAAAUACAAUAGAGGCGUUGAUUUGCUUGAAAGAUUGGGGUUUAGCAAAAUCAAGGAUGCAAGAGGCUCAGCGAGCGUGAAAUGCAGCUAGCUGAAGAAAGGAGACUCAUUAGGGAAGCACGACCAGAUGGGAAAUAGUGAAGAUGAAGGUGGAAAUGAAUCUGAUAAUGAUUCUGGAAAUGAGUCUGGUGAACAGGUACCAAGAUCAGUUGAAUCCCAUGAGUUAUCAACAAAUCUGCAGCCUCAAUUUUCAAGGGCUGCAGGCAUAUGAUAAAAGGGAAGAGUAAAGAAGCUUUCAUUGCAAUUAGAGAAGCAUUGAAGUCCAAGUUCGCUGCAUAUAAG